This 85-nucleotide transfer RNA is filed under the name Candidatus Rifleibacteriota bacterium. Its description in RNAcentral is "tRNA-Leu". It matches the Rfam family "tRNA". Rfam says of the family: Transfer RNA (tRNA) molecules are approximately 80 nucleotides in length. Their secondary structure includes four short double-helical elements and three loops (D, anti-codon, and T loops). Further hydrogen bonds mediate the characteristic L-shaped molecular structure. tRNAs have two regions of fundamental functional importance: the anti-codon, which is responsible for specific mRNA codon recognition, and the 3' end, to which the tRNAs corresponding amino acid is attached (by aminoacyl-tRNA synthetases). tRNAs cope with the degeneracy of the genetic code in two manners: having more than one tRNA (with a specific anti-codon) for a particular amino acid; and 'wobble' base-pairing, i.e. permitting non-standard base-pairing at the 3rd anti-codon position. RNAcentral also lists the same sequence under 1 other name. The record is from RNAcentral. Lineage: Bacteria; Candidatus Rifleibacteriota.
GCCGGGAUGGCGGAAUUGGCAGACGCACCGGACUUAAAAUCCGGUGGGCUUUAAACCCGUGCCGGUUCAAGCCCGGCUCUCGGCA